RNAcentral lists this long non-coding RNA (446 nucleotides) under Homo sapiens (human). RNAcentral's name for it is "HSALNT0404498". Lineage: Eukaryota; Metazoa; Chordata; Mammalia; Primates; Hominidae. The record is from RNAcentral.
ACGACACUGGUGCCUGCAGCCGUGCCAGCUAGGAGGGCGACGUGGACAGGAUUUCUCUCUAGAAAGGAUCCUGGGGUCCGAUUGAGAAGCUGGCUUGAACGUUAGACGCUGUAGCUCAGAGCACUGGGUAUGCACCCAGAAGGAGAAGUGCUCAUCACAUGAGUCUAAAACAAUGACUGGCAUGAAGUAUACAAACUAUACAUCGCCUAGUAAGUGGAUAAAACGAUUAAUUAAUUUGCCCAACAUUCAAAACGUGAUGGGGUGGGAUUCACAGCCAUGACUUCUCAUUGCAACGCUCAAGCUCCUUGUGCUGCUCCACGCCGCCUUUCGGUACACGAGAAGCUGAGGAUCCACGCCGCCUUUCCGUACAUGAGAAACUGUAGGAUCCACGCCACCUUUCAGUAGAGAAGCUGUAGGAUCCACACCGCCUUUCCGUACACGAGAAG